Chionomys nivalis (European snow vole) is the source of this 107-nucleotide small nuclear RNA. NCBI's taxonomy places the organism in Eukaryota, Metazoa, Chordata, Mammalia, Rodentia, Cricetidae. The record is from RefSeq and is a predicted model, not a curated record.
GUGCUCGCUUGGGUAGCACAUGUGCUAAAACUGGAACAAUACGGAGAAGAUUAGCAUGGCCCCCGUGAAAGGGUGACACACAAAUUCACGAAGCACUCCAUAGUUUU